Molecule: ribosomal RNA, 433 nt
Filed under: uncultured bacterium
Lineage: Bacteria
Description: partial 16S ribosomal RNA
Rfam family: Bacterial small subunit ribosomal RNA
Source: RNAcentral
AACGAACGCUGGCGGCAUGCCUAACACAUGCAAGUCGAACGAGACCUUCGGGUCUAGUGGCGCACGGGUGCGUAACGCGUGGGAACCUGCCCUUAGGUUCGGAAUAACUCAGAGAAAUUUGAGCUAAUACCGGAUAAUGUCUUCGGACCAAAGAUUUAUCGCCUUUGGAUGGGCCCGCGUAGGAUUAGCUUGUUGGUGGGGUAAUGGCCUACCAAGGCGACGAUCCUUAGCUGGUCUGAGAGGAUGAUCAGCCACACUGGGACUGAGACACGGCCCAGACUCCUACGGGAGGCAGCAGUGGGGAAUAUUGGACAAUGGGCGAAAGCCUGAUCCAGCAAUGCCGCGUGAGUGAUGAAGGCCUUAAGGUUGUAAAGCUCUUUUACCAGGGAUGAUAAUGACAGUACCUGGAGAAUAAGCUCCGGCUAACUCCGUG